CCUACGGGGGGCUGCAGUAGGGAAUAUUGCUCAAUGGGCGAAACCCUGAAGCAGCAACGCCGCGUGGAGGAUGAAGGUUUUCUGCUCGUAAAGCUCUGUUGGUAGUGGAGAAAGAUAGAGGUAGUAACUGGCCUUUAUUUGACGGUAAUUACUUGGACAGUCACGGCUAACUCCGUGCCAGCCGCCGCGGUAGUACGUAGGUGGCAAGCGUUGUCCGGAUUGAUUGGGCGUAAAGCGAGUGCAGGCGGUUCAAUAAGUCUGAUGUGAAAGCCUUCGGCUCAACCGAGGAAUUGCAGCAGAAACUGUUGAACUUGAGUGCAGAAGAGGAGAGUGGAAUUCGAUGUGUAGCGGUGGAAUGCGUAGAUAUAUGGAAGAACACCAGUGGCGAAGGCGGCUCUCGGGUCUGCAACUGACGCUGAGGCUCGAAAGCAUGGGUAGCGAACAGGAUUAGAUACCCCAGUAGUC
This 465-nucleotide ribosomal RNA is filed under the name uncultured bacterium. Its description in RNAcentral is "partial 16S ribosomal RNA". It matches the Rfam family "Bacterial small subunit ribosomal RNA", at positions 338 to 795 of the family's 1533-position model. The record is from RNAcentral.